This 501-nucleotide ribosomal RNA is filed under the name uncultured bacterium. RNAcentral's name for it is "partial 16S ribosomal RNA". It matches the Rfam family "Bacterial small subunit ribosomal RNA", at positions 30 to 523 of the family's 1533-position model. The record is from RNAcentral.
AUUGAACGCUGGCGGCAUGCCUUACACAUGCAAGUCGAACGGCAGCACGGGUGCUUGCACCUGGUGGCGAGUGGCGAACGGGUGAGUAAUAUAUCGGAACGUACCUUAUUGUGGGGGAUAACGCAGCGAAAGCUGUGCUAAUACCGCAUAAUCCCUAAGGGGGAAAGCGGGGGACCGUAAGGCCUCGCGCAAUUAGAGCGGCCGAUACCUGAUUAGCUAGUUGGUGAGGUAAAGGCUCACCAAGGCAACGAUCAGUAGCUGGUCUGAGAGGACGAUCAGCCACACUGGGACUGAGACACGGCCCAGACUCCUACGGGAGGCAGCAGUGGGGAAUUUUGGACAAUGGGGGCAACCCUGAUCCAGCAAUGCCGCGUGAGUGAAGAAGGCCUUCGGGUUGUAAAGCUCUUUUGUCAGGGAAGAAACAGCAGCUCUAACACAGUAUGCGAAUGACGGUACCUGAAGAAUAAGCACCGGCUAACUAUGUGCCAGCAGCCGCCGUAA